GACGAACGCUGGCGGCGUGCCUAAUACAUGCAAGUUGAGCGAUGAAGAUUGGCGCUUGCACCAAUUUGAAGAGCAGCGAACGGGUGAGUAACGCGUGGGGAAUCUGCCUUUGAGCGGGGGACAACAUUUGGAAACGAAUGCUAAUACCGCAUAACAACUUUAAACAUAAGUUUUAAGUUUGAAAGAUGCAAUUGCAUCACUCAAAGAUGAUCCCGCGUUGUAUUAGCUAGUUGGUGAGGUAAAGGCUCACCAAGGCGAUGAUACAUAGCCGACCUGAGAGGGUGAUCGGCCACAUUGGGACUGAGACACGGCCCAAACGCCUACGGGAGGCAGCAGUAGGGAAUCUUCGGCAAUGGACGAAAGUCUGACCGAGCAACGCCGCGUGAGUGAAGAAGGUUUUCGGAUCGUAAAACUCUGUUGGUAGAGAAGAACGCUGGUGAGAGUGGAAAGCUCAUCAAGUGACGGUAACUACCCAGAAAGGGACGGCUAACUACGUG
RNAcentral lists this ribosomal RNA (497 nucleotides) under uncultured bacterium. RNAcentral describes it as "partial 16S ribosomal RNA". It matches the Rfam family "Bacterial small subunit ribosomal RNA", at positions 28 to 507 of the family's 1533-position model. The record is from RNAcentral.